RNAcentral lists this unclassified non-coding RNA (154 nucleotides) under soil metagenome. RNAcentral describes it as "partial internal transcribed spacer 1". The record is from RNAcentral.
GUGCUUAAAUCGAGCGUGUCUUCAUUGACCGCUCACCCUUCUCACCAUCCACAUACACCUGUGCACUGUUUAGGCCUGAGCCGGUUUUCCGGUCCAGGUUAUCAUUUCAUACAAACUCUAGUCUUAUGAAUGUAAACGUUUUAAUAACAUAAUA